RNAcentral lists this unclassified non-coding RNA (208 nucleotides) under Hevea brasiliensis (rubber tree). The record is from RNAcentral. Lineage: Eukaryota; Viridiplantae; Streptophyta; Magnoliopsida; Malpighiales; Euphorbiaceae.
GAGCGGCUUGAAAAUCUUAAAUACUUUAGUACCUCAUUAUCAUUAAGAAGCAUGAAUUAUCUUUUCUUUAUCAUUUUAAGUAAAAAUAGAUGACCCAUUGAAAAUGGGAAGGAAAUUCAGGUAUCUGCCAAUUUCCUAAAACUUGUUGAACCCUGAAAACAACCUAUGAUAUUUACUUCUGAGAAAAGUUGGGCGAAAAAUGGCUGGU